GGAACCAGAAAGAACACACUUCCUGUUGGACAACAUUGCCCUUCAUGGGGUGGUAACAAAGUUUUGAAAUAUAUGGGUUAUCAAGAAAUACCAGAUGUAUUAGUUUCCAUAAACCUACCAUAUAUCUAGAAAGGAAGGUUUAAUCACUCCCUAAAGACACGAUUUCAAAGAGUACUGUGCAUACAGCAGUUAUCCCUCACAUCAAAUCUAUUGAAGAUCAUCAUAAAAGGCUGGAGUGGACUCCCUCUCUCAAAAAAUAUACUUUGUGUUUCUUUAUCUCUGGUGCUCUGUGGCCGAAGAAUUGGGUGAUGGAAGAGAUAAGACAUUUCUGUCUGGUACUGAUUCCAAGUUUGAAAUAAAAUCGACGCAUAACAGCAGUUCUAAGUUCUGUGCAUAGCAUUCAUCCUGUUUGAUGGAGGCUGCUAUGAAAGAUAAAAAGGAUUUGAGAAAUCUAAAAUAAAUUAAUUUGACUCUUGUUAUAAAACUCUUAUCAAAUCCAAACCAACUCCAUUCUGGAAUGGAUCUGCAACUGCUGUAUGUAAAAACAAGGAGCAGGAAUUGCUGCACCAGUUCUAGUAACAGUUUCUGAGAAUAUUGGAACCUUGCUGUUCCCAGAUAUUGCUAGGGGACGUUCUCUGUCUGUCUAUCUAUCUAUCUAUUUAACUUGCUAGCUAAAUUGCUAUGUGAACCAGUGUUAACUUGUACAUUUAGUCUGAAGUAGAAGUAAUCAGCAUCCUGCUUUGCAGAACAGCAGUGCAAGAAAUUAAGUAUUAGAUUCCUCUUGUAAUCUUUUAUAUCUUUUUUCUUUUUUCUUUUCUUUAAUAUGUACAAAUGUGAGGAUACAUAUUUCAAUUUGCAUUGCCUUGAGCCAGGAACAAUGCAGACAAUUGUUAUCCUAUCCUUGCUGGUACUGUAAUGACUCCACCAUAGCAUUCUGUGUUGAAGAGAGAAUUUUGCCUUAUGAAGAAAUGCAGAGGAUAGGAUGAUACACUUACAGAAAUACAACAGGUUUCAUCCUCACGUGAACUUAACAAAGGAAGUUAAGUAUCAUCUCUGGACUUGUCUUUAUGUGGUUGCUUUUCGUCUGAAUAAACAGGGCUGCAUUGACUGGGAAGAGCUGUAUACACUGCAGCUUUUUGUUCUGCUCUGAAUCAGUAUAUUUGGACCAAUUUUACUGCUGUUGGAACCAGAAGUGAUUUUGUAUCAGAAGAAAUAACUUUGUAGGCAGGCCUCACUGCUUAGAGAUAUUUUCUUGGCUUACCAGCUGCUUUCCUAGACUGCUUUUAUCUGGUGCAGACAAGCCUUUCCGUGGCACUUCUACCAUCCGUGUUUGCAGAGAACAGAUACUGUCUUCUCGUUCUGAACGCUGGCUGAAAGCAGGGUUCUUAAUUACUGAUCUCAAAUGCUCCAAGAGUCAACAUCAUCAUCUUCUCCUGAUAACUCUUUGUGUGCCUGAUCAUUAUGCAAGCAUAAUGCUUUCUAAAUGCUUUCUGCCUGUGGGAAAAGAUCAACAAGAAAAUUAAGAAGUUUUCAUGAAUAGGGGUAUUUUGUUUUGAGACCAUUAUGAAGCUAUUGCUGUGGAUAAAUUAUUAGGGCCAUAUUUGGGUGCCACAUUGCCUAGGGGUUUCAUGGAAGUGUGUCAAACAAGGAUGGAAGUUAUGUCUCUGGUAUCCCUGAACGGAUUGUCUGCUCUACAGAGGUGAAUAACUUUUAUAAAACAUUGUAAAAUGUUAGUGGUGAGUCUCAUUUUAUAGCACUGAAGAAUCAAUCCUGGGUACAGUGGGGCAGAGGACUUCCUGCAUGAGGACGUGCCCCAGUGCUCAUCUCACAGGAGUCAUGGAGCCAUGCCAGCUUGACCUGUGCUCUACCAGCCAGGCUGCCAACCCUGGCAACACUGAUGGGCAGGAACUAACCCGCGCUGUGUCUUGUAUUUACUCUAUGUACUGUGAUUUGCAGCUGACAUUUGCAUAUGCAAAUAGAUGAUGUCAGGUUUGAAAGACGUGAAGAGGCAUAAUAUUCAAUUUCUGCUCCAUCCCAACUCCCAAAUUUUGCAUGAAAACAAGGGCUCCUGAGUAUGAUCAGUGAAGGUGCCUCUCUUGCUGGUGUCCUCCCUCACCUUACAAAUUGCAUGCCCACGUAUGCUUUACUUAUCUGUUUCACAAAGGGAGUCCAUCUGUGUCCACCCCUUGGUCUGAAGUCUCCUCACUUCUAACUUAAGCCCUGUGCUUCUCUACAUUUCCGUGCUGGUCAUUGUGGCCUCAGUUCAUUUUCUGAGUGGAAAGGAAAUACUAAAAAGAAAAUAAAUAAAAAUAGAGCAAGUUCUUUGAACACUAACGCCAUUAAUACCUGCAUGUAAAGUAGAAGCUCCAUUUUGAUAAUGAGUUAUUAACACAGAAAAUGGGCAUGCUUUCCCUCUAAAACAUGUAUGGUCCUUUCUAUCAGCAUACCCAGAAAAUUAUUUCUGCAUCAGUAUUUCCAGAAAUACUUAAAUAACACAACUCUCAAGUGCUUUUAACAAUAAAGUCAAAUCAAUGCAGCUGGUAGUGCUUAGUAUGCAGCUCUGUGGUUUAUCCUGUACACAAACAAGAAAAAAUGAAGAAAAAGCACAAAUUACAGCCAUGGUUUCAUACCUGCACCUGCUUCAAGCUCAUUGCAAAGUAGCUUUAAUGUCAUGGCAAAAGCUGAGAAUGUCCAUGUGGGGAGUACAGUCAGAUUAUGGAAAAAUAGUAAUCCGUGGGGCUCCAAUACCCAUCCUUGCCAGCAACGAGUACCACAGA
Long non-coding RNA from Cygnus olor (mute swan), 2777 nucleotides. RefSeq lists it as uncharacterized. The transcript is spliced from 3 exons. The record is from RefSeq and is a predicted model, not a curated record. Lineage: Eukaryota; Metazoa; Chordata; Aves; Anseriformes; Anatidae.